UAUUAAAAAUUCAUCUAUUUGUACUGUUAAAAACUUUCAUGACUAACAAAAUAAUCGGAAAUAACACGUUGCAUGCCAUAUAUACCUCACGCUGACAUACAGGAAUAAGUUUUUAACAGUACAAAUGGAUGAAAUUUUUAACA
Molecule: non-coding RNA, 143 nt
Organism: Gossypium arboreum
Lineage: Eukaryota; Viridiplantae; Streptophyta; Magnoliopsida; Malvales; Malvaceae
Source: Rfam